GUUGGUUUUCCUCUACCUCCCUGCGGAGGACCCGAAAGCACUUAGAAACGACUGCUUUAAGGAAGGAGAUGGGAAACUCCUAGACCUACUGUUUUGCUGGAGAAAUCACGGUGUUUUUUGAAGAAGACAUUUUAGGUCCUAGAGAGAUGAAGUGACUGGUUCAAGGUCACACAGUAUCGGGGAUGGAAUCCAGACCUCCUGAUAUCCAUACUGACCCAUCCUUCAGACCCACACCACCAACUUUAUGGAGGAAGCCACUGAGAUACGGAAUGGAACAACAGAUUAAAUAGUCAAUGUCUCACUCUGGGAGCCUCACACGUGACUCUUCUUUCAUUCAAGCAACCACAGCCUCAUGCUACUAGGAACCAUCUUGCUGUCCCAAGAAUGCUGUCUGAGAAAGAAGCCAACAUGGGUGAAAUCUAAGUUGUGAGAUAGAGAAAGCUGGAGACUAGAUGAAGUCUUUUUGAGUACCUGGAUCUAACCAUGCCUUAAGCGAGUAUAAUCCUGGACAUCUCCUUUACACGACCCCUAUAUCUCUUUCCCCUCCUACCUCACUUUUGUUCCCCUUAUGAAGAGUUGGAUUUGGAUUUUUGUCACUUGUAGCCAGAAAUGUUUUAACUAAUUCAUGCCAUAAAUUGUAUGUAGUUCUCAUUA
Molecule: long non-coding RNA, 654 nt
Organism: Dipodomys spectabilis (banner-tailed kangaroo rat)
Lineage: Eukaryota; Metazoa; Chordata; Mammalia; Rodentia; Heteromyidae
Exons: 4
Source: RefSeq, a predicted model, not a curated record